Molecule: ribosomal RNA, 486 nt
Filed under: uncultured bacterium
Lineage: Bacteria
Description: bacterial SSU rRNA
Rfam family: Bacterial small subunit ribosomal RNA
Source: RNAcentral
CUGGCUCAGGACGAACGCUGGCGGCGUGCCUAACACAUGCAAGUCGAACGGACGAGGGGAGCUUGCUCCCUGAGUUAGUGGCGAACGGGUGAGUAACGCGUGAGCAACCUGCCUUUCAGAGGGGGACAACGGUUGGAAACGACCGCUAAUACCGCAUGAAGCAAUCGGACCGCAUGAUCUGAUUGCCAAAGAUUUUAUCGCUGAAAGAUGGGCUCGCGUCUGAUUAGAUAGUUGGUGGGGUAACGGCUCACCAAGUCGACGAUCAGUAGCCGGACUGAGAGGUUGAACGGCCACAUUGGGACUGAGAUACGGCCCAGACUCCUACGGGAGGCAGCAGUGGGGAAUAUUGGGGACCAAUGGGGGAAACCCUGACCCAGCAACGCCGCGUGAAGGAAGAAGGUUUUCGGAUUGUAAACUCCUGUUUCGAGGGACGAUAAUGACGGUACCUCGGGAGGAAGCUCCGGCUAACUACGUGCCAGCCGCCGC